This 158-nucleotide unclassified non-coding RNA is filed under the name soil metagenome. RNAcentral's name for it is "partial internal transcribed spacer 1". The record is from RNAcentral.
UAAUAAGUGUUUUAUAUGGCACUUUUUAAAUCCAUAUCCACCUUGUGUGGCAAUGUCAGGUUCGAUCUUCCUUCAUUUUGGAGGAUGACCAAACAUCAACCUUUAUCUUUUAACACACUUUGUCUGAAAAAUAUUAUGAAAUAAACAAUUCAAAAAUA